GUCGAUUCGCUUUUUACCACGAGCAAUUAUUAUGUGUUGCUUCAACUUCGACUUCAAUUUACUUGUAAUGAAUGUCAUUAGACUCUGACUAUUCUGAUUAAUAUUUAAUAUGUUAUGCGUGUGUUCAAACCCCUGAGGUUCAUCUGUCUCGCUCACGUCAAU
Molecule: small nuclear RNA, 162 nt
Filed under: Staphylococcus aureus
Lineage: Bacteria; Bacillati; Bacillota; Bacilli; Caryophanales; Staphylococcaceae
Description: SaV5
Source: RNAcentral